RNAcentral lists this long non-coding RNA (214 nucleotides) under Elaeis guineensis (African oil palm). Its description in RNAcentral is "long non-coding RNA (EGUI_LNC030656)". The record is from RNAcentral. Lineage: Eukaryota; Viridiplantae; Streptophyta; Magnoliopsida; Arecales; Arecaceae.
CGUGCACCUUCACCAGGAUCCGAUGAUCCCGAUAACCGCCACAACGAUGCAUCGGAGUUAGAGGGUGGAAGAGUAGGUCGUGGUGGUGGAGGUGGUGGAGUUGGUGAUCGUAUUCCGCCAAAUCCCUCAAGCCUGGGUAAGAGAAAAAACAUCAAGUUUCCGUAAUUUUUUUGGUUUGGUUUUAUUUUAUUUAAAAGAAUAUGAUGGGAGGAAG